UCUCUGGUGGCCCAGCGGUUAGGACUCUGUGCUUCCACUACAGUGGGCAUAGGUUCGAUCCCUGGUCAGGGAA
Bos taurus (domestic cattle) is the source of this 73-nucleotide non-coding RNA. Lineage: Eukaryota; Metazoa; Chordata; Mammalia; Artiodactyla; Bovidae. The record is from Rfam.